Molecule: ribosomal RNA, 433 nt
Filed under: uncultured bacterium
Lineage: Bacteria
Description: partial 16S ribosomal RNA
Rfam family: Bacterial small subunit ribosomal RNA
Source: RNAcentral
AACGAACGCUGGCGGCAUGCCUAACACAUGCCAGUCGAACGAGACCUUCGGGUCUAGUGGCGCACGGGUGCGUAACGCGUGGGAACCUGCCCUUAGGUUCGGAAUAACUCCCCGAAAGGGGUGCUAAUACCGGAUAAUGUCUUCGGACCAAAGAUUUAUCGCCUUUGGAUGGGCCCGCGUUGGAUUAGCUAGUUGGUAGGGUAAAAGCCUACCGAGGCGACGAUCCAUAGCUGGUCUGAGAGGAUGAUCAGCCACACUGGGACUGAGACACGGCCCAGACUCCUACGGGAGGCAGCAGUUGGGAAUAUUGGACAAUGGGCGAAAGCCUGAUCCAGCAAUGCCGCGUGAGUGAUGAAGGCCUUAGGGUUGUAAAGCUCUUUUACCCGGGAUGAUAAUGACAGUACCGGGAGAAUAAGCUCCGGCUAACUCCGUG